UACGUAGGGAGCAAGCGUUGUCCGGAUUUAUUGGGCGUAAAGCGCGCGUAGGCGGUUUGGUAAGUCGGGUGUGAAACCUCCAAGCUUAACUUGGAGCCGCCAUCCGAAACUGCCAUGACUUGAGUCUGGUAGGGGAACACGGAAUACCUGGUGUAGCGGUGAAAUGCUUAGAUAUCAGGUGGAACACCAGUGGCGAAGGCGGUGUUCUGGGCCAGUACUGACGCUGAUGCGCGAAAGCGUGGGGAGCGAACAGG
Molecule: ribosomal RNA, 254 nt
Filed under: uncultured bacterium
Lineage: Bacteria
Description: partial 16S ribosomal RNA
Rfam family: Bacterial small subunit ribosomal RNA
Source: RNAcentral